Molecule: ribosomal RNA, 255 nt
Filed under: uncultured bacterium
Lineage: Bacteria
Description: partial 16S ribosomal RNA
Rfam family: Bacterial small subunit ribosomal RNA
Source: RNAcentral
UACAGAGGUCUCAAGCGUUGUUCGGAUUCAUUGGGCGUAAAGGGUGUGUAGGUGGCGCGCUAAGUCGGGUGUGAAAUUUCGGAGCUUAACUCCGAAACUGCAUUCGAUACUGGCGUGCUUGAGGACUGGAGAGGAGACUGGAAUUCAUGGUGUAGCAGUGAAAUGCGUAGAGAUCAUGAGGAACACCAGUGGCGAAGGCGGGUCUCGUGGACAGUUCCUGACACUGAGACACGAAGGCCCAGGGGAGCAAACGGG